RNAcentral lists this ribosomal RNA (439 nucleotides) under uncultured bacterium. Its description in RNAcentral is "bacterial SSU rRNA". It matches the Rfam family "Bacterial small subunit ribosomal RNA", at positions 351 to 782 of the family's 1533-position model. The record is from RNAcentral.
GCAGUGGGGAAUAUUGCACAAUGGGCGCAAGCCUGAUGCAGCCAUGCCGCGUGUAUGAAGAAGGCCUUCGGGUUGUAAAGUACUUUCAGCGGGGAGGAAGGCGAUAAGGUUAAUAACCUUGUCGAUUGACGUUACCCGCAGAAGAAGCACCGGCUAACUCCGUGCCAGCAGCCGCGGUAAUACGGAGGGUGCAAGCGUUAAUCGGAAUUACUGGGCGUAAAGCGCACGCAGGCGGUCUGUCAAGUCAGAUGUGAAAUCCCCGGGCUUAACCUGGGAACUGCAUUUGAAACUGGCAGGCUAGAGUCUUGUAGAGGGGGGUAGAAUUCCAGGUGUAGCGGUGAAAUGCGUAGAGAUCUGGAGGAAUACCGGUGGCGAAGGCGGCCCCCUGGACAAAGACUGACGCUCAGGUGCGAAAGCGUGGGGAGCAAACAGGAUUAGA